GUUCAAUUGGUAUAUUGCAAUUACUCUCCAAUAUUAACACUAGCUAAACUUAUUAUCUUCCUGUAUAACCAAUCUUUUAUGUAUUACAAAGCAAAAGAAUUAAAAAGGAUGAUUGAUAUGAUGAGCACAGGGGGAAAAAAGAGAAGAAGUUACAGAACUAUCAUACAAGAGGAAGAGAAUGAAUUACGUCUUACCACCCCUACCAAGGAGCUUACAAUUAGACCUCACUGCACCUAUUGAUUUAGAUGAAGACGAUGAUAUGGUAGAUCGGUCAAACUCUUGUUUAUCCUCAGUAAAUGCCUUGCCUAGAACUACCUGGAGUUCCAUGUAUCUUUUUCUCUUUUGGAGUCUUUCCUCUGGAGUGUCAUUCCCUAAAUUGGCAAGCUGCGAUAAGUCAUCAGCAUCCAUGAUCCUGUUUAGUACCUCUGAGCACCGAGGGAAAAACUGUUUUCCAAGUUCCACAGUUCUAGAGAGUGCUCUCGUCCUAUUCAGAUGCUCCUCUUGCAUUCUAAAAGGUGCCUCAUUAAAGCCCCCUGUUGUCCUCUGAGCACCAGCCAAAUUCUUUGCCAUGAUGUCAUUUAAUGGAAAUUCAUUAGUGCCAUCCACUUGAGCAAUAUCCAUCAUAACUUUUGCUUCCACAGGAAAUAGAAGUUUUGCCAGUCCAACUCUAUUUUCUAGGUACAACAAUUUCAUUCGCAGGUCAUCACCAGCUACAACAAGAGAAAUAGCCUCUCCAAGCAAUGGAUCUCUUCUUUCUGCUUGUUCCAAUAUCUCUAUGCAUAAUCGCUCCUUGGGAGAAGCUUUUCCUUCCUCAGUAGAGCUAUGGUAAUCUGAAGCCCUGGUAAGUCUCUUUGAUAUUUGAAGUGCUUUUCUACCAUCUGAAGUAAGAUCUGAUGGACGAGCUCCCUUAGUCAAGAGAGAUACAAUAAUCUUAGGCUCUUUACGCAUUGCAGCAACAUGCAGUACAGUGUAGCCUCUUGAAUUUCUAAGGUUAACAUCAGCAAUUCCAAGAUUAAGAAGCUCUGUGGCAGUCUUUGCGUCACAGUAUGCAACAGCAUAAUGGAGUGCAUGGGCAUCAUCUAAAUUGGUAUGCGCCUCAUUUAGUAGCAUUCUAACUAAUUCUACAUCAUCUGAGUCCAAAGCUCGGUGUAUUCUCUUUUUGUGUUUAUCAGCAUAACCUGGGCUCUCGGGUGUCUCCAGACCAUACUCUAAGCGAGAAUCUGUUAUUUGCUUUACAAUGUGUUGGGGUAAGGCCUUGUCAAGAGUUACAAUAUCAACAUCAGAUUCUACAAUGAUCUUGAUGCAUCUUGCAAACAAUCUCUCACAGGCUUUAUCACACAUAUUUGCAACGGAUAGAACCACCAAGAUGUCAUCAAUUGC
RNAcentral lists this unclassified non-coding RNA (1380 nucleotides) under Hevea brasiliensis (rubber tree). Lineage: Eukaryota; Viridiplantae; Streptophyta; Magnoliopsida; Malpighiales; Euphorbiaceae. The record is from RNAcentral.